UAUAUUCGGAUUAGCUAGUUGGUAGGGUAAAGGCCUACCAAGGCGACGAUCCGAUAGCUGGUUUGAGAGAAUGAUCAGCCACACUGGGACUGAGACACGGCCCAG
This 105-nucleotide ribosomal RNA is filed under the name uncultured bacterium. RNAcentral describes it as "partial 16S ribosomal RNA". It matches the Rfam family "Bacterial small subunit ribosomal RNA", at positions 232 to 334 of the family's 1533-position model. The record is from RNAcentral.